UGAGAUAUCUGUCCAGUGGAGGGAA
This 25-nucleotide non-coding RNA is filed under the name Mus musculus (house mouse). The record is from RNAcentral. RNAcentral also lists the same sequence under 1 other name. Lineage: Eukaryota; Metazoa; Chordata; Mammalia; Rodentia; Muridae.